UAAACCAUACCUACGGCGACAAUUAAGGGGUUCCAGAAUUGUUCUGAGCAACUGCAACUCCAUGGUGUCUGCUGGGAAGAGGCAAUCCUCGUGAAGGUAUAGUUUCUGGUGUAUGUCCAUAUGUGUGGGUGUGCGGGGUGUGGGUGUGUGUGGGGGGAGGCAGUAUUUAAAUCAGCUUCUCCUAGAAGUUUUUGUUCUAUUCCCCACUGAUUUUUUGCGUAUGGCCAUGGGAUUUGGGGAUUCUAAGAAUGCUGCAGUCAGUGUUUGCACUUCGAAUUCAUGUGCACAAAGAAGAAAAAAACAAGGCUUACGGGCAUGGCACUCUCCCUGGGUCUCUUUGUUAACAUUUUGGCAGCGCUCUUUAAAUGAUGCCUUUUCUCUCAGUUCCCUGGAUGUUUUCUGAAGCCUGCACAAUGACUAGAAGGCUCUGUCGCUACAAAGGAAUACCUGAUUCAGAAGAGUAAACAUCGUAACAGCAACCUAUUCAUCAGCUGCCAGACCCAAACCAACCAAAGGUGGUGACUUUUGAAGACUCCAGCUUGGGCCUUACAGCCCCUGGCGGUGAGCGAGGGUUGGUGAGCGAGGGUUAAGGAAAGUGUUCCCAAGAACUCUCCCCAGGAAAAGUCCUUCUCAGGCCUUUCCUGACACUGCCUUUGAGAGUGGACACAGUGUGAGAGGGGAUAGAAGACAUGGCCAUAAACAAGAACAUUGAAAACAGAACGAGAGUCCUGGGAGAAGCCCGGGCCGGAGCGCCAGCACGGCCCUGCACGGUGGCCCUCUAUAAAUGUGCCUACUCGUUGGAAAUUGGUGCCACAGAAUAUCAGCUGGCACGUCAGUUCCCUGCGGCAUUAGCUCUGCAGGAGAAUGAAGCAGAAAGCAGAGAUAAGAUGCUGCAGCAUCUUGCAGCUAGAGGAUGGAAUCCACACUCCAAGAAUGGAAAGCAAUAAACUCUGAGAGCCAGCUCCUUGCGCCUCCCUGAGCAGUGCAGCUGCCACCUCCGGACUUUCUGUUAAGCGCAAAGAUAAACCCUCUACUUGCUAGGCCACACUGGCCUGGUUUCUGUUCGUGCCACCAAACACUAUUUCUACCUGAUGCGAACGGUGAGGAGGGUUCCCUCACCCAACAAAUACUCGCUGAGCGCGGACUCUGUGCUGAGUAAAGAGAUGAACAAUAAAUAACAAGACAAUGGCAGGCUGUGGUAUUAGGAAAGAAAUAACCAGACAGUGACUGGGGAAGGCGGGUCUCUCUCAGGAGGUGACAUCUGAACUGAGAGCUGAAGGGUGAGGUGGAAGCACCCAUGUAAUCAGUCGGGGGAGGGAGAGCACAUUCAGGCAAAUGCAAAAUCCGGGUGACAGGAAUGUGGUGGGGUUGAGUGGGAGGUUCAAAGAACAGAGAGGAAGCCAGUGUGGCUGGAACACAGAGAGGAAGGAAGAGAGUGGGGAAGGG
Long non-coding RNA from Myotis davidii, 1446 nucleotides. RefSeq lists it as uncharacterized. The record is from RefSeq and is a predicted model, not a curated record. Lineage: Eukaryota; Metazoa; Chordata; Mammalia; Chiroptera; Vespertilionidae. The transcript has 4 exons.